RNAcentral lists this microRNA precursor (61 nucleotides) under Gallus gallus (chicken). RNAcentral describes it as "Gga-Mir-130-P1b_pre stem-loop". The record is from RNAcentral. Lineage: Eukaryota; Metazoa; Chordata; Aves; Galliformes; Phasianidae.
GCCCUUUUUAUGUUGUACUACUAGUGAUCAUACACAAAGCAGUGCAAUGUUAAAAGGGCAU